GUAGGGUGCAAGCGUUAAUCGGAAUUACUGGGCGUAAAGCGUACGCAGGCGGCUUUGCAAGACAGGUGUGAAAUCCCCGGGCCUAACCUGGGAACUGCAUUUGUGACUGCAUGGCUAGAGUCUGUCAGAGGGGGGUGGAAUUCCACGUGUAGCAGUGAAAUGCGUAGAGAUGUGGAAGAACACCGAUGGCGAAGGCAGCCCCCUGGGAUGAGACUGACGCUCAUGUACGAAAGCGUGGGGAGCAAACAGGAUUAGAUACCCUGGUAGUCCACGCCCUAAACGAUGUCUACUAGUUGUCGGAGGGUAACUCCUUCGGUAACGCAGCUAACGCGUGAAGUAGACCGCCUGGGGAGUACGGUCGCAAGAUUA
RNAcentral lists this ribosomal RNA (369 nucleotides) under uncultured bacterium. RNAcentral describes it as "bacterial SSU rRNA". It matches the Rfam family "Bacterial small subunit ribosomal RNA", at positions 527 to 896 of the family's 1533-position model. The record is from RNAcentral.